This 1248-nucleotide long non-coding RNA is filed under the name Sus scrofa (pig). RNAcentral describes it as "lncRNA (ENSSSCG00050050161.1)". Lineage: Eukaryota; Metazoa; Chordata; Mammalia; Artiodactyla; Suidae. The record is from RNAcentral.
GCUAGGACUUCCAAAACUAUGUUGAAGAGUAGUGGUGAGAGCGGACAUCCUUGUCUUGUUCCUGAUCUCAGUGGGAAUUCUUUUUGCUUUUCACCAUUGAGAAUGAUGUUUGCUCUGGGUUUGUCAUAUAUGGCCUUUAUUAUGUUGAGGUGGGUUCCCUCUAUGCCCACUUUCUGAGGGUUUUUUAUAAGAAAUGGGUGUUGGAUUUUGUCAAAGUCUUUUUCUGCAUCUAAUGAGAGGUUCAUAUGGUUUUUAUUCUUCAGUUUGUUAAUGUGGUGUAUCACGCUAAUGGAUCUGUGAAUAUUGAAGAACUCUUGCAUCCCUGGGAUAAAUCCCACUUGAUCAUGAUGUACAAUCUUUUUAAUGUAUUGUUGGAUGUGGUUUGCUAGUAUUUUGUUAAGAAUUUUUGCAUCUAUGUUCAUCAGUGAAACACGCCUUUAAUUUCCUUUUUUUUGUGGUAUCUUUAUCUGUUUUUGGUAUCAGGGUGAUGGUUGCCUCAUAGAAUGAGUUUGGGAGUGUCCCUUCCUUGGCAAUUUUUUGGAAUAUUUUCAGAAGAAUAGGUGUUAGCUCUUCUCUAAAUAUUUGAUAGAAUUCACCUGUGAAGUCAUCUGGUCCUGGACUUUAAUUUGUUGGAAGUUUUUUAAUCACAGUUUCAAUUUCAGUUCUUGUGAUGGUUGUGUUCAUCUUUUCUAUUUCAUCUUGGUUUAGUCUUGGAAGAUUGUACUUUUCUAUGAAUUUGUCCAUUUCUUCUAGUUUUUCUUUUUUUUUUUUGGCAUAUAGUUGCAUAUAGUAGGUUCUUAUGACCCUUUGUAUUUCUGUUUUCCCUUGUAAUUUCUCCCUUUUCAUUUCUAAUUUUAUUGAUUUGAGUCCUCUCUCUUUUUUUCUUGGUAAAUCUGGCUAGGUUUUAUCAAUUUUGUUGAACUUUUCAAAGAACCAGCUUUUCGUUUCAUUGAUCUUUUCUGUGGUUUUCAUCCUUUCUAUUUCAUUGAUUUCUGCUCUGAUCUUUAUGAUUUCUUUCCUUCCACUAACUUUAGGUUCUUGUCUGUUCUUCUCUCUCGAGCUGCUUUAGAUGUAAAGCUAGCUUGUUUAUUUGAGCUUUUUCUUGUUUCCUGAGGUGGGCUUGUACUGCUAUAACCUUUCCUCUUAGAACGGCUUUUGCUGCAUCCCAUAGGUUUUGGAGUGUUGUAUCUUUGUUGUCAUUUGCUUCUAGGUAUUUUUUAAUUUCCUCUUUGACUUCUUCAGUGAUCC